GCGGAGGUGGCGGAAUUGGUAGACGCGCUAGCUUCAGGUGUUAGUGUCCUUACGGACGUGGGGGUUCAAGUCCCCCCCCUCGCACCA
This 87-nucleotide transfer RNA is filed under the name Escherichia coli. RNAcentral's name for it is "tRNA-Leu". It matches the Rfam family "tRNA". Rfam says of the family: Transfer RNA (tRNA) molecules are approximately 80 nucleotides in length. Their secondary structure includes four short double-helical elements and three loops (D, anti-codon, and T loops). RNAcentral also lists the same sequence under 2 other names. The record is from RNAcentral. Lineage: Bacteria; Pseudomonadati; Pseudomonadota; Gammaproteobacteria; Enterobacterales; Enterobacteriaceae.